Molecule: long non-coding RNA, 989 nt
Filed under: Trifolium pratense (red clover)
Lineage: Eukaryota; Viridiplantae; Streptophyta; Magnoliopsida; Fabales; Fabaceae
Description: long non-coding RNA (TPRA_LNC007823)
Source: RNAcentral
UAUAGAUAAGUCCUACUACAAAAUGCAAGCAUAAACAAAAAUGAAUAAAAUUGACUUUAUUUAAUAUAAAGUUCAUUCAACAACAAAAAAAAUCCAAAAAUACAUCUAUAGUUUGAUUGAACACACUGAAACUGUAAUGAAGGUAGUAUGACUCAUGAUUUAAAUAUGAAUCAACUCUUCAAGUAUUUCGUAAUUUCAAAAGCACAACUUUUACAACAAUAUUAGAUUGGAUCUCAGAUUUGAUAUAUAUUUGAAAUAGAAACCAGAAAUCAGUCAUACUGAUCUGUCAAUGACACAGCCACCUUCAUAAGUUUCACAGUCACAUAACAGAGUCCACCACCACCACUGCCACGGCCUCAGGUAUAUCCGCCAUCCACCAUAUCUUUCUUUAAGUAAACUGUUGAUUAGUUAGGGUUUUUGAUUUAAGUAUGAACUCUUACAACAUCUGCAUUCUUCACCUUGCUUUUCUGGUUCCUUAUAUGGGGGAAAUAAUAAGAUUUUAUAAAGAAAGAAAAUUUGUGAUUUCAUUGUUUGUAGUAGGAGAGAUGAUAUAUAUUGACUAGGUGAGGCUGCUGUUCAUCACUGAGUGCCCAACAGUGCGCUGAAGAUAUUUUAUUUUUCUAACCUUUCCAGGUGGAGGUAUUAUCUAGUUAAAAAGGGUUUUGUUUUGGAAUAUUUUUAAUGUUUACUGAUUUACUCCAAGCGUGGGAGAUAUAUAUGUUCAUGUUUGCACUUGAUAGCAACAUAUAGCAAACACUUGUUUCUUUAAUAUAUAUAUAUAUAUACACAUAUAUCUCUGGGAAAGGACCUGAAUAUCCCUAUAACUUUUUGUAUCAGAAUGACUAAUGAUUAUAUUUAUUUAAGCAUGUAGAGCAGGGUAACUCUUCUCUCAAUUGAUGUGAAUGUGAGCUUUAACUUUAUAAUACAAUCAGAAACUACAAUUCAACACCAGAUGCACUUGUUAAUCAAGAUCAAUUUUAUUUCCAACG